This is a long non-coding RNA of Piliocolobus tephrosceles (Ugandan red Colobus), 3097 nucleotides long. NCBI's taxonomy places the organism in Eukaryota, Metazoa, Chordata, Mammalia, Primates, Cercopithecidae. The record is from Ensembl.
GAUCUAUCUAUUUAUCUAGCUAUCUAUAUAUUUAUCUAUCUAUGAUCCUAUAUAUCUAAUAUAUUUUUAUAAUUUAACGCUUUAAACAAUUCAAAUAAUGUUAUAUAAAAAAGAAAAAAAGUAAUAAAUGAAAUGUACGAAAUGUACGAAAUGUACGAAAUGUACGAAAUAUACGAAAUAUACGAAAUAAAAUUAUGAAUUAACAAAAAACAGUUUAUUUAAAAAAAAAAUAGAAAAUAAAUUAAGAGAAAAAUUAACAAAGUAAAUGAAAAAAAAUUAAUUAAAUACGAUUUUUUUUUUUUUUUUUUUUUAACUCAUAUAUUAGUGAUCAUUUGUAAUAUUGUUUACUGCUUUUAUUAAUUUAUGUAUGUAUGUGCUUAUAUAAACCCCAUCCCCUUUUUUUUUUUUUUUUUUUUCAUCCCUCGCUUUUGUUAUGACCGCAUAACAAAAACAAUAUGAUAAUUUCUGCAUUACUUCGAAACCUAGAAAUACAUGAAAACGUAAACAAAAAUUAUGCAGAAGGUCGAGUAAUAAAAUGUUAUAAUAUACCACCUACUGUUAAUGAAGGUAUCUUCAAGUUUAUACUUUUAUUUUUAAAUAACAAAUCUUAUGAAAUAAAAAAAGUAAUUCGUCCAAUAUGUGAAGAAACGAAAGUAUAUCCAUGGAAAAUAAUAUGUAAUGAUGAAUUAGCAAGCUUUUUAUUAAAAGUAAAAAAAAUUAUUAUUUAUGAUUAUUCAAAAGAAAAAAAAAAAAUUUUUGUAAAACUGGAAAAAAAUUGUGCUUAUAAUGAACAGGAGGGACAGAAUAAUGGGUCUUGUGAAUUUUAUCAUGAUAAGUGCAUAAACAGUGAAGGAAAAAAGGGAGGAAAAAAGGGAGGAGAAAUGGAAGGCACAAAAGAAGGCACAAAAGAAGGCACAAAAGAAGGCACAAAAGAAGGCACAAAAGAAGGCACAAAAGAAGGCACAAAAGAAAGCACAAAUGAAAGCACAAAAGAAGGCACAAAUGAAAGCACAAAUGAAAGCACAAAAGAAGGCAUAAAAGAAGACCUAUCAUAUCAUAACUUUUAUAACCACAAUAAAAAUAAAACUUUAAUCAGUGAAGAACAAAAUUUGAAUGUAGGAUUGAGAUUAAAUUAUGAUUCGAACUUAGCUUUUAAUGCUAGCCACAACUCUGCUUCGAGUUUAAACGAUAGAGGAGUAAGUAGACAUAGUAUUAUAAAUAAAGAAGAGGGUCAUAAAAAAUUAAGUAAACGUUUUAUUUUAUUGGAUAAUAACGAAAAGAGUAAAUAUAAUGAAUAUACAGAACAUGAUAUAAAACCAGAACAAGGGUUUGAGUUUAAAAACGAUGAUAAUAAGUUUUAUGAUAAAAAAGAAGAAUAUUAUAGUAGUUAUAUUGUACAUCCAGAUGAAGUGGAAUAUUGUGCAUGUCUGGAAGUGGACAGUGAAAACUGUUGUGACACAAGUUGUUAUGAGUUAAGUCACGACGACUUUAGUCACGAUGACUUUAGUCACGACGAUUAUACUCACGACGGUUAUACUCACGAUGGUUAUACCCACGACGGUUAUACUCACGACGGUUAUACUCACGACGGUUACACUCACGAUGAUUUAAAUCAAGGUGAACAAGAAAAUGCGAACACGAAAACAGUUUAUAGGAAAAAUACAUACUGUUUUAGUAAUAGUAAUAGCAUUAACGAAUUCAAAGAAAAAAUUGAUGUAAAAAGUGAAAAUAGAACUCACAACAAUAUAAAUAAUAAAAGUUUUUUUUUAUCUUCUCGUCCUUACGCUCAGUCAUUUGAUCAUUCUAUGUGUCCUUCACCAAAUCGAAAUAUGGAAUGUUUAAAUAAAACAAAUACGAAUGUAGAAUAUGUUGUAAAAAAUAAUGAAAUUAAUGUUAAUAAAAAAAAAAAUGAUAAUUGUAAUAAACAGAUUAAUAGUUGGAAUGUAAAUUCAAAUGUGAACAAGUAUAGUUACGAUAGUGUAACAACCAUCAAUAAAGAAAGAAGUUUAGAUAAAAACACUUCACUCAGUGAAAAUAGAAAAAGGAAUUAUAAAAUUUUGGAUAAAAAUGAAAUGUCGACUAGCACGAACAUAGAAACGGAUUUACACUUAGAUGUAGAUAUUGAAUAUGGACAUACAAAUAACAUGCUAGCCUUAAUUUUGAACAGCAAAGAAUAUACAAUUUUAAAAAAGCUAAAAAAGAGAAAAAAGAUUAAAGGAAGUCAAAAUGUUAGUACUGAUAACAACAUAAGUGGUAACAACAUAAGUGGUAACAACAUAAGUGGUAAUAAUAUAAGUGGUAAUAAUAUAAGUGGUAAUAAUAUAUGUGUUAGUAACAAUAGUAGUAUUAGUAGUAUUAUUGGUAACAAUAUUUGCAGAAGCAACAAAAUUUGCAUUUAUUUUUAUGAGGGAGAUUUACAAGAAGUUAUUGAAAAUAUACAAGAAGAAGAUGUUAAUAAAUUAAUUAACGAUAUAGUGGAAAACAAAAAUGAAUGUUACAAUUUUUAUAAUAGUAUUAUUACAUUCAGUAAUUGUAUGGAUAAUAAUAUAGAGGAAAAUUUUGUUUUAUGUAAAGAACAAAUAAAAAUGUCUCCAUCUUCCAGUAAUAGCAAAAUGGAUUGCGAGUUCGAAAAUUUGAAAAACAAAAUUGAUAAAGAGGAAGUGGGGGUAAAGGGAAAGAAAAAAAAAAAAAAAAAAAAUAAAAAAAAAAAAAUAAAUGAAAUAAAUAAAACAAACGAAAAAGAUGUUAGUGAAAAGGGCGUUAGUGAAAAGGGCGUUAGUGAAAAGGGCGUNNNNNNNNNNAGUGAAAAGGGCGUUAGUGAAAAGGGCGUUAGUGAAAAGGGCGUUAGCGAAAAAGACGUUAACGAAAAAGAAGCUAACCAAAAAGAAGCUAACCAAAAAGAAGCUAGCCAAAAAGAAGCUAACCAAAAAGAAGCUAGCCAAAAAGAGUAUACUAUGCAGUGUAUAGUAAAAGAACAAAAUAAUAAUGAAGAAAAAAAAAAAAAAAAAAAUUUAAAAAAAAACAAUUGUUACUCAGAAAAUACAAAACAUAGAUACUCUAGCGAAUUAAACUCAUACAAAGGGAAAAAACAAUUUAA